Salvia splendens (bonfire salvia) is the source of this 5799-nucleotide long non-coding RNA. RefSeq lists it as uncharacterized. NCBI's taxonomy places the organism in Eukaryota, Viridiplantae, Streptophyta, Magnoliopsida, Lamiales, Lamiaceae. The record is from RefSeq and is a predicted model, not a curated record. The transcript is spliced from 4 exons.
UCUAUACUUCUUCAGUUCUUCUGAUUCCAUAUUUGUUUUUAAUUUCUUGUGGUUUUGUGCUGCGAUUUAGAUUGGCGAUUAGGUUUUGUGUAAUCGAUUGGAUUACUUUCUCCGUGUGGUGCGAUUUCUCUUAACCUCUCCCAAUCUGGUAUUGCGGCGAGGAUACAUGGGUUUCUGAUCAAUCUACUAUCGAAGUUUCUGAUUUGUAUAGCUCGUUUGCUAUGAUUCUUCUUCGAUUUGUUUUAUUUGGUUAUUUUCAACGAUUGAAGGUCUAAGACUGUAAUGGUUCAAGUUUUGACGGUCUUUUUAUAUCAUAUUGGUUCUCGGGGCUCACUUUCGUUUGCUUAUGUAGUGCAAUCGAUUUGUUAGUUCGUGAUCUUUCGAGUUAGAAGGAUUGGUGAGCAGCCUCAAGAUCACACUUGAAUGAAUUUAUAUGCAACUGAGUUUUUUCGUGAUUUCCGUCCAUCAGCCUUAUGCCAAAAGUAGCUGACUCCCUGACUUGGUGUGGGGCUUUUUCCCCCAGUGUCUCCAUAAAUAAAUUGGAAUAGAUUGUUUGGUAUGUGAGUCAUCUCUGGCUAUGAUAGUGUAUAUGGAGGGUGGCGGAGGGAGUAUAGUAUGGUAUAUUUUUGGAUUUUAUCUUCUACAUAGGCAUUCCCGGUGCUUAAUCGUUAUACUCUUCAAUUUCCAUUGUCUUACCAGUGGCUCUUUCUUAAUCAACCUUCAGCGGAAGCCACUCCUCCUGGUUUGGUGCUUGGUUAUUUUUACUGGUUUCAUCAGUUUCUCUUUGUGCUGAGCCUCAACAUGUGACAAGAGAUGCAAAAUAAAUUGUGGUUCUGUUGAAGGUGGAGCUUAAGGUGGGCUAGCUUGGUCUGGCUGUUGGACAUGGACCAAUAUUUGAUGAGCGUUAACCGAGUAUAUGAAGGGUGGCAGAGGGAGUAUAGUAUUUUUCUACUGUCGUUUAUCUUCUUGCUGGACAUCUCCUUUGGUUAUUGUAAUGCUCUUGAAUUUCCUGAUUUCAGAUAUUUUGGUUCUUGAGUUUCCAGGAGAAGGCAGUUCUAGGCUUUGACAGUUUGACAGUGGGAGUGUAAUAUAGUAUAGUAUAGUGUUGUUUUCACUACCUGUUACCCUCCACCUUGACUUUUCCGUCCUUGUUGUUAUUCUCUUUGAUAUCCAGUCUCCGACUCUUGGGUGGGUUCUUCAUCAGGCUUCACUGGAAGACAGCUCUUGUUUGAUGCUUGGCUAACUGUUCUUUUUUAAUCUGUUUUUGUUUAAUGUUUAGUCAAUUUUUCUGGUUUGAUGCUUGGUUAACUUUUUUUAUGUGAAAUGGUUGUUUAUUUACCUAUAUGUGAAUGUUGUUUUCAGCCUUUAUUGCAGGUCGUUGACGUGGACCAAUCUCUGAUACUUGCAUUUAUGGUGUUUAUGAAGGCUGGCCUUUCUCCUGCCAUUUAUCUUCUAGCUGUGCUUUCCCUUAUCUUACUAUUAUGCUCUUUCCUCCAGAUACCUGAUCUUUGGAUUGCUCUACCAGUUUUCCAGGAGAAGGACGCUCUUUGUUUUUACAAGGGGGUAUAGUAUAGUGUUCUUUUCUAAUAACAUUUAUCUUCUACCUAGACCUCUCACUGCCUAAACUUUCCUGUGUUUAUCGUUGUACUCUUCAAUUUCCAGUAUCUGAGGGUUGGGUACCUCUUAAUCAACCUUCACCCAAAGGCAGUUUUCAUGGGAUGGCAGUUCUUGCUGAUGCUCAACAGCUCUAGUAUCUUUACUCUGUUUUAUUAGUUUCUUUUUUUACAUAGAUGUGUGUAAUGUUUCUGGCCUCACAGGACAAAUUUUUUUAUUCCAUACACAUCUCUGAUGCUGGCAAAGAUGGUGCUGGCAUUGGGAGUACAGUAAUUUUGUAUGACGUUUUAUCUUCUAGCUGACUUCACCAUUGCUUAGCUGACUUCUCUUCAAUUUCCAGAUGUAUGUUAUAUGUGUGGUUCUAUCAGUAAUAACGGGAAGGUGAUUCUCACGUUUUAUGAUGUGGCAGUGGAAGGGAAGUAUAUUAUCUUACUUCUGCUACAUUUUAUCCUCUUCCUGGAUGCACCUGUGCUUAUUGUUGUUCUCUUCAGUUUUCAGUGUCUAUUCGGGUGGUUCUUAAUCAGCCUUCACCAGAAGCUGGUUCGUACUUGGUUAUCUUUGCUCUGUUUCAAUAGUUCUUCUUUUGUGUAGGUUGUGGAUGUUUCUUCUUUCGUACUUGGUUAUCUUUGCUUUGUGUUACGUAGAUGCAAAAUAAGUUUUGAUUCUGUUAGACUUGGAGCGUAAGGUUACACUAUCUGGGCCUGGUUGUUGGACAUGGACAAAAAAUGUUGAUGCCUUGAUGGCAUUUUAGUGUUUUUGAGGCUUGGCAGAGGGAGUAUCGUAUUUUUUAUCGUCAUUUAUCUUCUAGCUGGAGUUUCCCAUUGCUUACUGACCUUUCCAAUGCUUACCGUUGUACUCUUCAAUUUCCAGUUUCUGGUCGUUGGCUUAAUCAACCUUCACGAAGAGAGUUCUGGUUUGAUACUGGAUUAUCUUGUCUCUCUUUCAUCAGUAUUUUGUUUGUUACACAGAUGUAGAUUUUAUCUUCUGCGUAGACAUUCCUGGUGCUUACCGUUUUACUCUUCCAACUUAGUGUAUUAUCAUUGGCUGGUUCUUAAUCAACCUUCCGUGGAAGCUGGUUCUGGUUUGGUGCUUGGUUACUUUUACUCCGUUUCAUCAGUUACAUUUUGGUACAUGGAUACCGGGUUUGGCCUCAACAUGUAACGGGAGGUACAGAAUAAAUUUAGUUCCGUUGAAGGUGGAGCCUAAGGAGGGGUAUCUUGGUCUGGCUGUUGGACAUGGUCCAAUAUUUGAUACUGGCUUUGACCGAGCUUAUGAAGGGUGGCAGGAGUAUAUUGUAUUUUAUACUUUCGUUUCUCACUGGACAUUUCCUUUGUUUAUUGUUAUGCUCUUCAGUUUCGAUGUUAGAUAUUUGGGUACUUCAGUUUCCAAGAGAAGGCAGUUCUGGGCUUUUACAUUGUGACUGGGAGUAUAGUAUAGUGAUAUAUCACUACCUCUUAUCUUCUACCUAGACCUUCCCGCCCUUAUUGUUGUUCUCUUUGAUAUCCAGUCUUUGACCAUUGGGUGGGUUCUUUAUCAGGCUUUCACUGGAAGGCAGUUCUAAUUUGAAACUUUGAUGCUUGGUUAAUUUUUCCCUUUAAUCUGUUCUAGUUUGAACUUUGAUGCUUGGUUAACUGUUCCCUUUAAUCUGUUUUGUUUGUUUACCUAUAUGUGUAUAUUGAUUUCAGCCUUUGUCGCGGGUCUUUGAAGUGGACAAAUCUCUGAUGCUUGCAUUUAUGGUGUUUAUGACGGGUGACAUUACUGUCAUUUAUCUUCUAGCUGAGCUUUCUCUUUACUUACUAUUAUACUCUUCAAUUUCCAGAUGUCUGAUCUUUGGGUUGUUCUAUCAGUUCCUAGGGGAAGGCCGUUCUUUGUUUAUACUGUUUGGCAGAGGGGGUAUAGUAUAGUGUUAUUUUCUACUAUUUUUCUUCUAUAUAGUCUUCCUUCAUGUUUAUGUUUACUCUUCAAUUUCCAUUAUCUGAGUGUUGGUGGUUCUUAAUCAACCUUCAACAGUUCACGCUGGAAGGCAAUUCUUGAUUGAUGCUCGAGUAUCUUUACUCUGUUUUGUAAAUUUUUGUUUGCUACGUAGAUGUGUAUAGUGUUGUUUUUGUCUUCAUUCAGUGACACGUGACAGGGAAAAUAAUUGCUUCCGUCAAAGUAGGAGCUUAAGUGUGACUGUCAUUGUAUGGUUGUUGGACACUGUUACAUCUCUGAUACUGGCAAGGAUAGUGCUAAUGGAGGGUAGCAGAGAGAGUACAUUACUUUUCUACUGUCAUUUAUCUUGUAGCUGGUCUUUUCCUUGUGAAUCUAUCAGAGUAGGAGCUGAUUGAAGGGCUAUCUUUGCCUGGUUGUUUGACAUGGGGCAAUAUUCAAUGUUGGUAUUUGAAGUGUUCACGGAGGGUGGUAGAGGGAGUAUAGUAACUUUUGUAUUUCAUUCAUCUUCGAACUGAAUUUUCCCCUUACUUAUUGCUAUGCUGUUCAUAUGUCCAGAUGCCUUAUUCUUACUUUGUUCAAUAUGUUCUCAAGGAAAGGCAGAUUGGUGUCCUACAAGGUGAUAUCGGGAGUGCAUUAUAAUAUUUUUCUGUGUUUAUUGUUUUACAUUCAAUUCUAAUUUUCUACAGUAAUUUAUCUUCUAACUGAACUUAUCUUUUGCUUAUUAUUAUGCUCUUUGAUUUCCAGAUGUCUCUGCAUGGUUCUAUAGGAAAUUCGGUUCUGGGUUUGAUAGAGAGUAUAGUAUGGUAUCUUUAAGAUGUUAUCUUUUAUGUUGACAUUCCUGUGCUUAUCAUUAUACUCUUUAAUUUCCAGUGUCAUAUUAUUGGCUGGUUCUUGAUCAACCUUCAGUGGAAGCCAUAUCUGGUUUGAUGCUUGGUUAUUUGUACUCUAUUUCAUCAGUUUCUUUUUUUUGUUAAAUUGGAUAUUGUGGUUGGCCUAAACCUGUGACAGAUUUCACAAAUAAAUUUUGGUUCUGUUGAAGGUGGAGCUUAAGAUGGGCUAUCUUGGUUUGGCUAUUGCCUGUUGGACACGAAUCCAUAUUUAAUGCUGGAGUUGACAGUAUUUAUGGGGGCGGUAUAGUAUUUUUCUACGUUGUUGUCUUCUUGCUGGACAUUCCCUUUGCUUAUUGUUAUGCACUUCAAUUUCCAGAUGUCAAAUAUUUUGAGAAAGCAGUUCUGGGCUUUUACAAUGGCAAAGGGAGUAUAGUUUGAUAUCUUUUAGAUUUUAUCUUCUUUGUAGACAUUCCCUGUUCUCAUCGUUAUACUUCUCAAUUUCUAGUGUCUGAGCAGUGGCUGGUUCUGAAUCAACCUUCAGUGGAAGCCAGUUCCAGUUUGAUACUUGGUUAUCUCUACUCUGUUUCAUCAGUUCCUUUUUGUUACGUGGAUAUUGUGUUUGGCCUCGUCCUACGAGAGAAGAUACGAUCAUACAAAAUAAAUUUGAUACUGUUAAAUGCGGAGAUUGAGGUGGGCUAUCUUUGUCUUGUUGUUGGACAGGAUUAGGAACCAAUCUUUGAUAUACUGGCCUUGACUGAUUACACUUGGAGCUUGAGUGUCUAUUCCCGUGCUUAUUGAUAUACUCUUCAAUGCAUAGUCUCUCGGCCAUUACGAAGAUAAAGAUGAGGGGAGUUGUCACCACUGUAUUCGACACCAGUAUUGAGGUUUGAGAGAUCAUUUGAGAUGUGAUUAGUAGCUCUCGAAUCAGGAUAUCAAGAGCCAGUAAGCCCACCUUCGUAGCUGCAUUUAAAGGGAUAUGUACUGGCGAUUAUGAGAAAUACCUGCUGCACCAGGUUAGCAGAAGGUGUGUUGUAGAAAGAAGGUUGUUGUGCCUGCGAGGACUGUCCCCGUGGAGUCGACUAUUGUUCAUACCUAUGCCAGAGAAUCUAUUUCCAGAGAACCUGCCCCCUCGGCCGCCUCUACCACACCAAAAUCCACAGGAUUCUCCCCUUCCAAAAUGCUGCAAAUUCUCUCUAUAUCAUGUGAGAAAUGAUUGUCAUUUGGCAAUGUGAGUAGCCCUUGGCUGUGUGCCAUCAGUAUUGACACCAAUCGCCUUGACACGAGGUAGAUGUCACACUUGGUGAUUGGCAUGAGAUUUUAGUAAAUGUUUUUGUGUAUUAAAUGGAGAGAAAAUAUAUUUUUAUAUAUUAAUGUAAGAGAACUUUAUUUUAAAAGGAUAUGUGACAUCAUUUAUAGGAAAAAA